UACGUAGGGUGCAAGCGUUAAUCGGAAUUACUGGGCGUAAAGCGUGCGCAGGCGGUUGUGCAAGACAGAUGUGAAAUCCCCGGGCUUAACCUGGGAAUGGCAUUUGUGACUGCACGGCUAGAGUGUGUCAGAGGGGGGUAGAAUUCCACGUGUAGCAGUGAAAUGCGUAGAUAUGUGGAGGAAUACCGAUGGCGAAGGCGGCCCCCUGGGAUAACACUGACGCUCAUGCACGAAAGCGUGGGGAGCAAACAGG
Molecule: ribosomal RNA, 253 nt
Filed under: uncultured bacterium
Lineage: Bacteria
Description: partial 16S ribosomal RNA
Rfam family: Bacterial small subunit ribosomal RNA
Source: RNAcentral